This is a long non-coding RNA of Ictalurus punctatus (channel catfish), 1357 nucleotides long. RefSeq lists it as uncharacterized. The transcript has 2 exons. The record is from RefSeq and is a predicted model, not a curated record. NCBI's taxonomy places the organism in Eukaryota, Metazoa, Chordata, Actinopteri, Siluriformes, Ictaluridae.
CAGCACAUCUGCCUUGUGAAACUGGACCAUCUCACGCACUGCAGCAUUUACUAGACUCUCUCGAUCUGUUCCACAGCUUGGAACGUUUUAGAAGGUUUUUCUUAGUUAUUUUGUUGGAGAAGCCUCCCACAGAGAGAGAGAGUGUGUGUGUGUGUGUGUGUGUGUGUGAGAUCAGGUAUGAGAGGAGGAAGACAAGUGCAGCGUGUCUAUUCUAUCGAUCUGCCUAAAUACAUUUAACAGUUACGCAACAGUUUGAAACUGUAUAUCGUUUCAACAGAUCAUGUGUACAGUAACGUGCAAAUGUUUGCGUACCCUCAGGACAAAGACUUUUCAUUUAUAGCAUGAAAAUUCAGGUUUCCUGUGUCAGGUUUCAAAGAUCUUUUCAUAGUUCAAAUAUUGCUUGACAAGAUAUUAGUAGCCUUUUUUUAGGUAAAUAAAUUGUAAAAUAGAGGCAUUUUCUUUUCCCCCCCAGAAACCAUGUAGGGUGCAAACCUUUGCACUUCGUUGUACUUCAUCAUAUAUAUAAAUGAAAUUACUGUUUAGAUUCAAUCCUGCUUCAAUUCCUUCUUCAAGAGCGGCAUCCCUUGCCUUCUGAUCACACACACCUUCUCACUGUGUCUCAUGUUCUGUUUUUUUGGUUGUUUGUUUUUGUUUUUUUGCUCCUUUGGGUUGUGGUUUGAGUCCAUAUGCCUGCAUUGUUUAGCACUGUGCUUAGGCCUCAAGGUUGUAUGGACUUUGAUUGUUGCAUUCUUUACAUUUACAUCCUCUGAGGAAUCUGUCUGGAUAAAAUAAUAAUGACUUGACUUUACCUCUAGCCCUACAAAGGCUGCAGAACAUGUGUAGCGGCCUGGGGGGAAAAAAAUCUUUAGGCAGACUGUUUUUACCACAGCAUUUGUAAAGCUGGCUUCUUAACCUAACUGAUUUUUGCAGGAAGAUUAUAACUUUAUCCAUCGAUCCAUUUUCCAUACCACUGAUCCUACACAGGGUCACAUGGGAGCCUGGAGCCUAUCCCAGGGGACUCAGGGCGGAGGACACGCAGAGGAAAUCCCUGAAGCAUUGUGAGAACUUGCAAAUUUCACGCACUCAGGGCGGAGGUGGGAUUUGAAUCCCCAAAUCCUGAAGUAGCCCAAAUCUGGAUAUGAAACUUAUCAUGACCUCAGGGCUUCAUCGACAUCAACUGGAUCUAAAAGCAGUCAAGCUGAUUAGGGAGUGAGAUCCUGCUGCUCUGUUACCUGCGAGCCAGCCGUGGUGUGUAGGAGUAGAAGGUUGAAAAGUAGGAAGGAGGUGGUGCGGGUGGAACAAAGUCAUCAGGAUCAGGAAUGUGUGGCUGCUCUUCUUCCUCUGCAACGUUUCGUGG